Molecule: transfer RNA, 128 nt
Filed under: Candidatus Omnitrophota bacterium
Lineage: Bacteria; Pseudomonadati; Candidatus Omnitrophota
Description: tRNA-Arg
Source: RNAcentral
ACGUCGGAUGAACGCACCCGAGACGCUCUUUUUGAUUAUUGAAUUUACGUUUUUACUAAGGUUUUUGCCGAUUUUUCAGCGGUCUUCUAAGCCGUGGGUCCCAGGUUCGAAUCCUGGCUGGCGUACCA